Molecule: long non-coding RNA, 955 nt
Organism: Mercurialis annua (annual mercury)
Lineage: Eukaryota; Viridiplantae; Streptophyta; Magnoliopsida; Malpighiales; Euphorbiaceae
Exons: 2
Source: RefSeq, a predicted model, not a curated record
UCACUUUGGUUUGCGGUCUUUAUCUUGUUCAAUGGGAUCACAGCCUGCAUCAAGUUGAUGUCUAUCAGUAUCUUUAGCAAGGGACGAAGGGGAAGACGGAUGAGAUGUAGAGAGAAUUACCUUGUUUGACAGUAAGAGACUUAUUUGCCGGAGUUGGAGCAUAGGUUUGGGUAGCCCUAUUGUCAAGUAGAAGCCUACUUGGAAUCCCAAUUACUUGUUCUUGAACUGAAAUCUUCAUGCUUGAUGGUGAAUUGAGAUUGCAAGUCAAAUAGAAUUGUAGUAGUCUUGUGUUUCUGAUUGUUGAGAGAGUUAAUGGUGGUGAUGAUGAGAAGUUGCAUGUAUCCUGCAAGUAUAUAUACUAUAGAGAAAAGGAGUUGGUGAAUGUCAACUCUUGAAUGCAUGAGUCAGCCAUGGCUCAGCCACAAUGAUAAAGGUAAAUAUAUUGUCUAAAUUUGUUAUAUUUUAAAGAAAGAUUUUAAAAAGGAUUACAUUUUUUAUUGCAGCAGACCAGAUGAUGGAAAUUUGUUUGGAUUUGAAAAAAUCUCAUCUUCAUUCAAAUGGGACCAAUUCCAGAUAAGCUGAGACAGUUAAAAUAGUCCAAACAAAGUCCAUGUUGGCUAUUCCUUAGUUAGGAUGAUUUCUGAUAUAUGCUGACAGUGUAAAGGAAGCUUUUUGAGGUGGCAAAUUAGCUUUGUGAUGCCAUCAUUUAAGAAAAGAAACAAAUGAACAUGUGAAGCAGUUAGAUUUGAUGAAAUGGAUGGCCUACUGCUUUUGCAUAGAUUGCUGAGGUGGGGCUGACUAGGCAGUUGGCCUGCCUAAUUAAGCAACACUAUUUUAAUAAUUUACUUCACCAGAUUUUUUCUCCUUUAAAGUUUAAACACUAAACCUUAACCAUGACCAUAAACUUGUUGAUGUAGCUAUGAAUUAAUCUUCAUUCUUUACAUGUUUGGAAAAA